RNAcentral lists this long non-coding RNA (391 nucleotides) under Mus musculus (house mouse). RNAcentral's name for it is "predicted gene 45029". Lineage: Eukaryota; Metazoa; Chordata; Mammalia; Rodentia; Muridae. The record is from RNAcentral.
AAGGGAGGUGGAAAGUCAGUCUGGUUUCGCAGCUGUUUUGGGUAAAAACUGGCUCUCCUAGCAGCCCGAGAAACUCACAGUUUUGCUCCUAAGCAAACCAUUCAUCAGUGGCUUUCACUGCACAGCAACAGCGAUGGGACUCUCACAAUAUACUCAUUGUUCAGCUGGAAACCCCAUGAAGUUGUAACCUGAACCUCUCGUCCUGAGGCCAUUUGAUGGCCUUUUCAUCCAAUGGUAUCUGUGGACCCCAGUGGAGAGGUAGGUAAAGAGUUAUUAAGGCAUCUGAAAUUGCUUUCAGCAGACUGCAAAGUGUUUGGGCCAUUUCAGGCCAUAGUGGGGUGGCAGAAUGCCCAACUGCCUACGUCAAGCAGUGUUUAUAAAUUAGAAAUUA